Molecule: long non-coding RNA, 983 nt
Filed under: Ananas comosus (pineapple)
Lineage: Eukaryota; Viridiplantae; Streptophyta; Magnoliopsida; Poales; Bromeliaceae
Description: long non-coding RNA (ACOM_LNC033225)
Source: RNAcentral
AUAUGGAUAAUAAUAGAUGAAGUAAAAGAAAACGAAAAAUUUUCAAAUAUUAUUUAUGUGAUUUCGUACAUCCUUAUUUUAGUAUCCUGCGAUUUAAAAUAUAUUACUUUUGUAACCUGUAGUUUUUUUUUAUUAUUAUUCUCUUCACUAAUCUUUUUGGUUAAAUUACUUGUAAUUUUAAUUUUUUUACUAUUCUCUUCACUAAUUUUUUUCGUUAAAUUAAUGACAAAAUUAAAACUAAAGAAUACUAAAAUGGAUAUUCGAUAAACUAUAGGUGGGAUAUCUGAAGUUUUUUUUAUAUAAUUUAACGAAAAGUUAACGAAGGAGCUGUCAAAAGAGAAAAAUAAAUUAUAGGAUACUAAUUAAAUUAACACACUUUAAACCACAAGGUAUUAAAGUGAGAAAGUGCGAAAUCACAGGGGUGUUAUUUGAAGUUUAUUCUAAAAAAACUUUACUUUUAUAAAAAUAAUUUUUACAAUAGUAAUUUUUCAGUUCAAUUGUUUAAUUGGCUAUAAAAUAAAAUAUUAAAAUUACACCUUUGUAAUUUUGAUUAUCGAAUUAUAUAUAAUGUGAUGAAAAUAUAAAUAAACGACUUAUACUUGCAAUUUAAAUAAUAGUGAUUUGGAUUGUAAAAUGAGUAAUGAUCAUUGAUAUUUUGCCUAUCAAAAUUGUAAAAAUUGGUGUGUAAAUUUUACUAUUGGUCAAUGAGUUUGUUGUAAAAAUUCAAGUUAUUUUUAGGAUUAAUUUCAUACACGUUUCUGCAAAAAUAUUAAAUAAUAAAUAAAUCAUUACAAAAUUUAAAUGAUCAAAUUUGUUUCUUCGAAAAUUUUUUGGUUUGUAAAUAUAUUCCUCUAAAACUCUUAUUUAUUCGCAUUCAUAUAUGUCCUUACUGUUUGAUUCACUGUUAAUAUUUUAACAGUGGUCAUGUAAAAUAACUAUUUUGCCCUUAUAAAUUUGUUUCCGUAAAGAAUUAUCUUUCUUUC